Molecule: unclassified non-coding RNA, 559 nt
Filed under: Hevea brasiliensis (rubber tree)
Lineage: Eukaryota; Viridiplantae; Streptophyta; Magnoliopsida; Malpighiales; Euphorbiaceae
Source: RNAcentral
GCAAUAAAAAUCAAAGAAGACGAAUGUAAUAGCUAUUCAAUAAAACUUCAAAAGAAACAGAAUUUAAAAGAAACUAAUUUAGAACAAAUCAACAAAAUCCAAAACAAACUAUAAAUGUUUGAACAUAUUUACAAAGGAAAAGUCCUACAAGUUGGAACAAAAGUAAAACAAACACUAAUCUAGUAAACCCUAGCAACAUCUCAAUAAAGAAAUAAUCAACAAUCAAGAAACAACAACAUCUGCACAGAAACCAAAAGAAGGCUGAUAAAUGAACCAGCUUUCCCAUAAAAAAUAAAAAGAAAGACGAAUACGUGACUAAUUGACAUAAAACAACAAUGGCACACACGAAGGACACCAAACAUUCAACCCUGCAUGCAACCAUUAAAUCCAAAUCUUAACCCAUUAAACAAAACCCCCCAAAUCACGGGAGAACAUCAGAUCAAUAACAAAAACUGGGGGGAAAAAAACCCUUGAUCUAACCAAAACAAACGAAGAACAAGACGCAUAAGAACAAUGGAAUCAAAAGCCGCAAAAUUACCUCAGCAGCAAGGUACUCGAG